AUACGGAAGGUCCAGGCGUUAUCCGGAUUUAGUUGGGUUUAAAGGGAGCGUAGGCCGUCUGUUAAGCGUGUUGUGUAAAUGUAGAUGCUCAACAUCUGAAUUGCAGCGCGAACUGGCAGACUUGAGUGUGCGCAACGUAGGCGGAAUUCGUGGUGUAGCGGUGAAAUGCUUAGAUAUCACGAAGAACUCCGAUUGCGAAGGCAGCUUACGGGAGCACAACUGACGCUGAAGCUCGAAAGUGCGGGUAUC
RNAcentral lists this ribosomal RNA (249 nucleotides) under uncultured bacterium. RNAcentral's name for it is "partial 16S ribosomal RNA". It matches the Rfam family "Bacterial small subunit ribosomal RNA", at positions 523 to 769 of the family's 1533-position model. The record is from RNAcentral.